GACGAACGCUGGCGGCGUGCUUAACACAUGCAAGUCGAACGGAAAGGCCCUGCUUUUGUGGGGUGCUCGAGUGGCGAACGGGUGAGUAACACGUGAGUAACCUGCCCUUGACUUUGGGAUAACUUCAGGAAACUGGGGCUAAUACCGGAUAGGAGCUCCUGCUGCAUGGUGGGGGUUGGAAAGUUUCGGCGGUUGGGGAUGGACUCGCGGCUUAUCAGCUUGUUGGGGGGGUAGUGGCUUACCAAGGCUUUGACGGGUAGCCGGCCUGGGAGGGUGACCGGCCACAUUGGGACUGCGAUACGGCCCAGACUCCUACGGGAGGCAGCAGUGGGGAAUAUUGCACAAUGGGCGGAAGCCUGAUGCGGCAACGCCGCGUGCGGGAUGACGGCCUUCGGGUUGUAAACCGCUUUCGCCUGUGACGAAGCGUGAGUGACGGUAAUGGGUAAAGAAGCACCGGCUAACUACGUG
RNAcentral lists this ribosomal RNA (468 nucleotides) under uncultured bacterium. Its description in RNAcentral is "partial 16S ribosomal RNA". It matches the Rfam family "Bacterial small subunit ribosomal RNA", at positions 28 to 507 of the family's 1533-position model. The record is from RNAcentral.